CAGAGAGCAUGGGUGACAAUGUCAAAUGCCACCUAAAUAUUAUGUGCUGGAGGCCUGAGCAGUGUCCUGUGGAUUUAGCAAGGCUGCUGGUGAGCUCAGCACAAGCUGCUGCUGUGGGGUGAGUGGAGGGCGCAUUGGUGCCACCAGGAGGGAAGGAAGGAGUGGCCCACUAGCAGCCUUAGUGGAAGAUGCCCUAGAGAGGAGAGGGGUUGAGGAUUUCUGGAUCGAGGGAGAAGACUGCAGGGCUCAAAUCCUGGAGAGGCUGGGGAGGAGGGUCCAGGGCCAGACCUUGGGAGAGAGGAGGCCCUGUCAACUGGCACAUGGGAAGGUCAGGAGGCAGGCGAAGGCCGCUGGGCUCUGGGCCCUACUGUCCUCAGUGAAAUAGCUGCUGAGGAUAUUUUCUGAGUGUCUGGCUAGUGGUUGCAAAAAGCCCAGAGGAGGUUGCAAGAGGUGAGGCAGCUGAUCAAAGCAAGUGGAAGGGUAGGCCCCGAGGCCCAGCUGGAGAGGGAGGCAGAGGUUCCUGGCGCUGUGGCUGUGCAGAAGCAGCUUUCCUGCAGCCUGAGUGCCUGUGGAGCUGGGGUGGGAAGGCAGAGCGGACACUAGCCUGGGUUGGGGAUUGUAAGGAGGCUGAGCUGAGCUGUAGGGACAAAGGCCCAGCGAUGUGGAUGCUGGUGAGAGUAGCUCCAAGAAGUGAAAGAAGGAAGGGAAGCCUGGAUGUUGAGAACCCAGAGAGACUCUGGAGCCCUCCAUGAGCAUCCCCAAAGAACAUUCAAGUCUGAGCCUCAAGGAGCCUCUGCGACUCGGUGUCUAGAUCCAGGAAAUGGAGAAUGAGCCGUGACUUUGGAUGCUUCACUCUUGUCCAUCAGGCUCGGAAUUGGUGAGCAUCUCCCACAUUACCGUCUCCAACGGAACAAGGUGCCCCAUUGGACAUUUCCUCUGCAUGGACCAGCCAUUCUCCAAAUCUGCCCCCAUGUCACCCCAGCUCCCCAUCGCAGUCACUUCUCACUCCUUGUCCCCUGUCCCCCUGAGUGACAGGACUUUUGCCAGUUAGGUCCUGUCCCUGUUUCUGAUCUUGGGUCCAUUCCCCAUGGUCCCUUUCUUGCUUGUGCCUUGGGAUCUCAGGCCUGUUGAAGUAGGAGGCAGGACUCAACUUCAGACCAGAUUGAAGACUGGCUGACACAGAAGAGGCACCAAAAGCACCUCUCUCUCCAUAAGACAUGCCCACCAGUGCCAUGACAGUUUACCAUUGCUAUGGCAAUGCCCAGAAGUUCUCACCCCUUUUCCAGACAUUUCUGCAUAAUCUACCCCUCAAUUGGCAUGUGAUCAAAAGUGGGUGUCAAAAUGACUGUGGAACUGUCCCUGAGCUGCUACUCUUGACAUGCUGGUUACAGGGUAGCCCGGCUCUGCAGGGACAGUCACGGAGCUGAAAAACUGCUGCCUAAUGAAGCUGUUUUCUUC
Long non-coding RNA from Homo sapiens (human), 1458 nucleotides. NCBI's taxonomy places the organism in Eukaryota, Metazoa, Chordata, Mammalia, Primates, Hominidae. The record is from Ensembl.